This is a long non-coding RNA of Oncorhynchus tshawytscha (Chinook salmon), 555 nucleotides long. Lineage: Eukaryota; Metazoa; Chordata; Actinopteri; Salmoniformes; Salmonidae. The record is from Ensembl.
UGGAGGGGUAUGUCUUGUCUAUAUGUACCCCACCAGUCUAGAGGGGUAUGUCUUGUCUAUGUGUACCCCACCAGUCUAGAGGGGUAUAUCUUGUCUAUAUGUACCCCACCAGUCUAGGGGUGGAGGGGUAUGUCUUGUCUAUAUGUACCCCACCAGUCUAGGGGUGGAGGGGUAUGUCUUGUCUAUGUGUACCCCACCAGUCUAGGGGUGGAGGGGUAUGUCUUGUCUAUGUGUACCCCACCAGUCUAGAGGGGUAUGUCUUGUCUAUGUGUACCCCACCAGUCUAGAGGGGUAUGUCUUGUCUAUAUGUACCCCACCAGUCUAGAGGGGUAUGUCUUGUCUAUAUGUACCCCACCAGUCUAGGGGGGUAUGUCUUGUCUAUAUGUACCCCACCAGUCUAGGGGGGUAUGUCUUGUCUAUAUGUACCCCACCAGUCUAGGGGUGGAGGGGUAUGUCUUGUCUAUAUGUACCCCACCAGUCUAGAGGGGUAUGUCUUGUCUAUGUGUACCCCACCAGUCUAGAGGGGUAUGUCUUGUCUAUAUGUACCCCACCAGU